Molecule: ribosomal RNA, 482 nt
Filed under: uncultured bacterium
Lineage: Bacteria
Description: partial 16S ribosomal RNA
Rfam family: Bacterial small subunit ribosomal RNA
Source: RNAcentral
AUUGAACGCUGGCGGCAUGCCUUUCACAUGCAAGUCGAACGGUAACAGGUCUUCGGAUGCUGACGAGUGGCGAACGGGUGAGUAAUACAUCGGAACGUGCCCGAUCGUGGGGGAUAACGGAGCGAAAGCUUUGCUAAUACCGCAUACGAUCUACGGAUGAAAGCAGGGGACCGCAAGGCCUUGCGCGGACGGAGCGGCCGAUGGCAGAUUAGGUAGUUGGUGGGAUAAAAGCUUACCAAGCCGACGAUCUGUAGCUGGUCUGAGAGGACGACCAGCCACACUGGGACUGAGACACGGCCCAGACUCCUACGGGAGGCAGCAGUGGGGAAUUUUGGACAAUGGGCGAAAGCCUGAUCCAGCCAUGCCGCGUGCAGGAUGAAGGCCUUCGGGUUGUAAACUGCUUUUGUACGGAACGAAAAGACUCUUUCUAAUAAAGAGGGUCCAUGACGGUACCGUAAGAAUAAGCACCGGCUAACUACGUG